This 367-nucleotide long non-coding RNA is filed under the name Durio zibethinus. RNAcentral describes it as "long non-coding RNA (DZIB_LNC000653)". The record is from RNAcentral. Lineage: Eukaryota; Viridiplantae; Streptophyta; Magnoliopsida; Malvales; Malvaceae.
CUGGCUUUACCUCUUUUGCAUGAGGUUUUGUUGGUUCAUAAAGCUUCAAAACUUCAUCCUCCAUUUAUGUUAAAUGAAUCUAUGUUAUCUGGUAUAUGAUAUUUUUUGCAUGCUUAGUUCUUUUUCAGCAUGUAAUAUGCCUGUAGAAGUUUAAAGUUUCUUCCUAUCCAUGUAUACUGGCUUUACCUCUUUUGCAUGAGGUUUUGUUGGUUCAUAAAGCUUCAAAACUUCAUCCUCAAUCUAUGUUAUCUAGGAUAUGAUUUUUUUCAUGCUUAGUUCUUUUUUAGCAUGUAAUAUGCCUGUGGAAGUUUAAUGUUUCUUCCUUUCCAUGUGUAUUGGCUUAACCUCUUUUGCAUGCAAAUUUGAU